RNAcentral lists this non-coding RNA (25 nucleotides) under Cricetulus griseus (Chinese hamster). Lineage: Eukaryota; Metazoa; Chordata; Mammalia; Rodentia; Cricetidae. The record is from RNAcentral.
GAGACUGGACAAAGCUGCUGGACAC